UGGGGAAUAUUGGACAAUGGGGGCAACCCUGAUCCAGCAAUGCCGCGUGUGUGAAGAAGGACUUCGGGUUGUAAAGCACUUUUAUCGGGAACGAAACAUUGUCGGCCAAUACCCGGCAAGACUGACGGUACCCGAGGAAUAAGCACCGGCUAACUCCGUGCCAGCAGCCGCGGUAAUACGGAGGGUGCAAGCGUUAAUCGGAAUUACUGGGCGUAAAGCGUGCGCAGGCGGUUUGUUAAGUCUGCUGUGAAAUCCCCGAGCUCAACUUGGGAAUUGCAGUGGAUACUGGCAAGCUGGAGUACGGUAGAGGAAGGUGGAAUUCCCGGUGUAGCAGUGAAAUGCGUAGAGAUCGGGAGGAACACCAGUGGCGAAGGCGGCCUUCUGGACCAGUACUGACGCUCAUGCACGAAAGCGUGGGGAGCAAACA
Molecule: ribosomal RNA, 427 nt
Filed under: uncultured bacterium
Lineage: Bacteria
Description: bacterial SSU rRNA
Rfam family: Bacterial small subunit ribosomal RNA
Source: RNAcentral